UACGGAGGGAGCUAGCGUUGUUCGGAAUUACUGGGCGUAAAGCGCACGUAGGCGGCCUACCAAGUCAGGGGUGAAAUCCCGGGGCUCAACCCCGGAACUGCCUUUGAAACUGAUAGGCUAGAAUCUUAGAGAGGCGAGUGGAAUUCCGAGUAUAGAGGUGAAAUUCGUAGAUAUUCGGAAGAACACCAGUGGCGAAGGCGACUCGCUGGACAAGUAUUGACGCUAAGGUGCGAAAGCGUGGGGAGCGAACAGG
RNAcentral lists this unclassified non-coding RNA (253 nucleotides) under uncultured Sphingomonadaceae bacterium. RNAcentral describes it as "contains 16S-23S intergenic spacer region". It matches the Rfam family "Bacterial small subunit ribosomal RNA", at positions 524 to 776 of the family's 1533-position model. The record is from RNAcentral. Lineage: Bacteria; Pseudomonadati; Pseudomonadota; Alphaproteobacteria; Sphingomonadales; Sphingomonadaceae.